RNAcentral lists this transfer RNA (62 nucleotides) under Pelodiscus sinensis (Chinese soft-shelled turtle). It matches the Rfam family "tRNA", at positions 1 to 60 of the family's 71-position model. From Rfam's summary of the family: Transfer RNA (tRNA) molecules are approximately 80 nucleotides in length. The record is from Rfam by way of RNAcentral. Lineage: Eukaryota; Metazoa; Chordata; Testudines; Trionychidae.
GGAUGGAUAGCUCAGUGGUUUGAGCAUUGGGCUGCUAAACCUAAGGUUGUGAGCUCAAUCCU